RNAcentral lists this ribosomal RNA (408 nucleotides) under Triticum aestivum (bread wheat). RNAcentral describes it as "partial small subunit ribosomal RNA". The record is from RNAcentral. Lineage: Eukaryota; Viridiplantae; Streptophyta; Magnoliopsida; Poales; Poaceae.
AUGGAAGAUCAAGAACUAGUAGUGGCACAGAGCAAGAUAAAUGAGGUUCCUGCAAGACAAACAGAGGUCAAUGUGUGGAUCCCCUGGCCCGCUGGCUGGACGAAGAUCAACGUGGACACUGGACAGAGUCUUGGGAGCUUCUUCUGUUAUUUUCAGGGGGAUUUCAGAUGCAAAAACGGUGUAGUUGUUGCGAUCAGGGAGGCUCUCUCGUUGGCGGACGAUUUGCUUAUUCGAAGAGCUAAGGUAGCCCAUGAUUCUCCCAGGGUGACCAAUAUCCUGUGUGAAGACUCCAGAGCAGUUUAUUACCACAUCACCGACGAGAUCAAGGCUAAAGGUGCGAAACAGGAUGGCAUUGUUUUUUGCCAUGAGAAUCGCGGCUCAAAAAUUGAAGCUCAUAGGCUUGCUUGA